CGUUAUAAUAGAAACGCUCAUUGUUGUAAUUAUUUUUACCAUAAUAUUGUUGUCAACAAAGCAACAAUAUCAACUGAACUCCACUAAGAAUUGUCUUUUCAUUAGCAAUGGUUUAUCGCUACUUACAGAUAUAAAUUGAAUUCCCGUUUGUAUCCUACCUCUCACCUACAAUAGUACAAAGUAUGUCCGUCCUUUUUUAAAUAUGCUAACAUAUUAUGUAGCUUUUUGAUAAAAU
Non-coding RNA from Cinara cedri, 235 nucleotides. NCBI's taxonomy places the organism in Eukaryota, Metazoa, Arthropoda, Insecta, Hemiptera, Aphididae. The record is from the annotation of a GenBank genome assembly.